UUAACUCAUUUCUAUCAUUUUACACCUAGAAUCAUCAGUUCACUGGUUACUUUUGUCCUUAAAAAUUCCUAUCCUAUUCGAUAUAAAGCAAUACAUCAUGUCAACCUCAAUAUCAUCAUAAAGGCAAUUUUAAGCGUUAUGCUUCCACUUUUAUCAUCUAAACUCCAGAAGAGAAUUCAUCUUCAUUCUGAUAUGGAAUCUCUAUGCAAAUUCAUCAGCCCAGACUGUUUGCCUUCGGAUUA
This is a long non-coding RNA of Centruroides sculpturatus (bark scorpion), 242 nucleotides long. RefSeq lists it as uncharacterized. The transcript has 3 exons. NCBI's taxonomy places the organism in Eukaryota, Metazoa, Arthropoda, Arachnida, Scorpiones, Buthidae. The record is from RefSeq and is a predicted model, not a curated record.